This 467-nucleotide ribosomal RNA is filed under the name uncultured bacterium. Its description in RNAcentral is "partial 16S ribosomal RNA". It matches the Rfam family "Bacterial small subunit ribosomal RNA", at positions 28 to 506 of the family's 1533-position model. The record is from RNAcentral.
GACGAACGCUGGCGGCGUGCUUAACACAUGCAAGUCGAACGGAAAGGCCCUGCUUUUGUGGGGUGCUCGAGUGGCGAACGGGUGAGUAACACGUGAGUAACCUGCCCUUGACUUUGGGAUAACUUCAGGAAACUGGGGCUAAUACCGGAUAGGAGCUCCUGCUGCAUGGUGGGGGUUGGAAAGUUUCGGCGGUUGGGGAUGGACUCGCGGCUUAUCAGCUUGUUGGUGGGGUAGUGGCUUACCAAGGCUUUGACGGGUAGCCGGCCUGAGAGGGUGACCGGCCACAUUGGGACUGGGAUACGGCCCAGACUCCUACGGGAGGCAGCAGUGGGGAAUAUUGCACAAUGGGCGGAAGCCUGAUGCAGCAACGCCGCGUGCGGGAUGACGGCCUUCGGGUUGUAAACCGCUUUCGCCUGUGACGAAGCGUGAGUGACAGUAAUGGGUAAAGAAGCACCGGCUAACUACGU